AUACGGAGGGGGCUAGCGUUGUUCGGAAUUACUGGGCGUAAAGCGCGUGUAGGCGGAUCGUUAAGUCAGGGGUGAAAGCCCGGGGCUCAACCCCGGAACUGCCCUUGAUACUGGCGAUCUAGAGUCCGGAAGAGGUGGGCGGAAUUCCCGGUUUAGAGGUGAAAUUCGUAGAUAUCGGGAGGAACACCAGUGGCGAAGGCGGCUCACUGGUCCGGCACUGACGCUGAGACGCGAAAGCGUGGGGAGCAAACAGGAUUAGAAACCCUAGUAGUCC
Molecule: ribosomal RNA, 274 nt
Filed under: uncultured bacterium
Lineage: Bacteria
Description: partial 16S ribosomal RNA
Rfam family: Bacterial small subunit ribosomal RNA
Source: RNAcentral